AUUGAACGCUGGCGGCAUGCUUUACACAUGCAAGUCGAACGGUAACAGGCCUUCGGGUGCUGACGAGUGGCGAACGGGUGAGUAAUGCAUCGGAACGUACCCAGAGGUGGGGGAUAACGCAGCGAAAGCUGUGCUAAUACCGCAUGUGAUCUGAGGAUGAAAGCGGGGGACCGAGCAGCAAUGUUUGGCCUCGCGCCUUUGGAGCGGCCGAUGUCGGAUUAGCUAGUUGGUGGGGUAAAGGCCUACCAAGGCGACGAUCCGUAGCUGGUCCGAGAGGACGACCAGCCACACUGGGACUGAGACACGGCCCAGACUCCUACGGGAGGCAGCAGUGGGGAAUUUUGGACAAUGGGCGCAAGCCUGAUCCAGCAAUGCCGCGUGCGGGAAGAAGGCCUUCGGGUUGUAAACCGCUUUUGGCAGGAACGAAACGGUGUCCGCUAAUACCGGGCGCUAAUGACGGUACCUGCAGAAUAAGCACCGGCUAACUACGUG
RNAcentral lists this ribosomal RNA (492 nucleotides) under uncultured bacterium. Its description in RNAcentral is "partial 16S ribosomal RNA". It matches the Rfam family "Bacterial small subunit ribosomal RNA", at positions 29 to 507 of the family's 1533-position model. The record is from RNAcentral.